This 253-nucleotide ribosomal RNA is filed under the name uncultured bacterium. RNAcentral describes it as "partial 16S ribosomal RNA". It matches the Rfam family "Bacterial small subunit ribosomal RNA", at positions 524 to 776 of the family's 1533-position model. The record is from RNAcentral.
GACGUGGGGCGCGAGCGUUGUCCGGAUUUAUUGGGCGUAAAGAGCUCGUAGGCGGCUUGUCGCGUCGUUCGUGAAAACCUGGGGCUCAACCCCAGGCUUGCGGGCGAUACGGGCAGGCUAGAGUUCGGUAGGGGAGACUGGAAUUCCUGGUGUAGCGGUGAAAUGCGCAGAUAUCAGGAGGAACACCGGUGGCGAAGGCGGGUCUCUGGGCCAUUACUGACACUGAGAAGCGAAAGCAUGGGGGGCGAACAGG